Molecule: long non-coding RNA, 1077 nt
Filed under: Betta splendens (Siamese fighting fish)
Lineage: Eukaryota; Metazoa; Chordata; Actinopteri; Anabantiformes; Osphronemidae
Description: lncRNA (ENSBSLG00000010435.1)
Source: RNAcentral
AUGCGCCGAGCUACCCAGCGAUCUACGCCAGUAUUUUUCGAUCCUCGUGGAGGAUUACCGAAGGGCGCCCAACCCGGAAGCCCAGCGCAGCGCCGUGGAAGUGGCGGUGUGGACCCUAGAGGACGAGGACGGCGUGCUAGAACGCUCCAGUGUCCGUCACCUCUACGAGCAAUUGUGCGCGCGGCUUGGGGAGUUAAGCAGCGCACUCCGCACCACACCCGCCUCCACGCCGUCCGCUCGGGCCACGCCCAGCUCCACGUUUACUCCGCUGGGAGGACUUCCUGCACUCGUGCGGUCCCCUGUCUCCGUGGUCUCCAGCUCAGCCGUGUUCCGUUCAGUCUCCAGCUCAGCCGUGUUCCGUUCAGUCUCCAGCUCAGCCGCGCGCCGUUCAGUCUCCAGCUCAGCCGCGCGCCGUUCAGUCUCCAGCUCAGCCGCGCGCCGUUCAGUCUCCAGCUCAGCCGCGCGCCGUUCAGUCUCCAGCUCAGCCGCGCGCCGUUCAGUCUCCAGCUCAGCCGCGCGCCGUUCAGUCUCCAGCUCAGCCGCGCGCCGUUCAGUCUCCCUGUCGGCCAAGUAGAGGUCGUUCCAGUCCCUGUCGGCCAAGUUACGGCCGUUCCUGUCAGUCUCGGAGUGGCAGUCCCGGCCGACCUCCAGGAGGGGGUCGCGCCCGUCGUAGUUCCUGCCGACCUCCAGGAGGGGGUCGCGCCCGUCGUAGUUCCUGCCGACCUCCAGGAGGGGGUCGCGCCCGUCUGCUCGGCUCCGGCCGCACCUGCAUCGGUUCCUGGCGGCUCGGCUCCGGCCGCGUCUCCACGUCUGUCUUUGUCUCUGGUUCCUGCCUCGUCUCUGUCUCUGCUGCCGGACUGGUGGCCUCGCCCUCGGCGCAUCCUGCUGCUUGGAUGGCGCUGCCUCCUGUGGCGCCGUCCGCCUCAACUCCUCAACCCCCUGGAUCAGCGUCCGCCAGGAGGACAUCGCCGUUCGGGGGGGUCCCCGUGGACGCUGGCCCAGCCCAAGGGCACUGGGUGUGCCCCCCUGCCUCAGCGGCGGCUGGGCAGGAUCUCGCCGCGUCUCCACCCGCCUUAA